GACGAAGGGGGCUAGCGUUGUUCGGAAUUACUGGGCGUAAAGCGCGUGUAGGCGGUUGUUCAAGUCAGGUGUGAAAGCCUUGAGCUCAACUCAAGAAAUGCACUUGAUACUGGAUGACUAGAGGACCGGAGAGGAUAGUGGAAUUCCCAGUGUAGUGGUGAAAUACGUAGAGAUUGGGAAGAACACCAGUGGCGAAGGCGGCAUUCUGGACCGACAUUGACGCUGAGGAGCGAAAGCCAGGGGAGCAAACGGG
Molecule: ribosomal RNA, 253 nt
Filed under: uncultured bacterium
Lineage: Bacteria
Description: partial 16S ribosomal RNA
Rfam family: Bacterial small subunit ribosomal RNA
Source: RNAcentral